Molecule: ribosomal RNA, 446 nt
Filed under: uncultured bacterium
Lineage: Bacteria
Description: partial 16S ribosomal RNA
Rfam family: Bacterial small subunit ribosomal RNA
Source: RNAcentral
CCUACGGGAGGCAGCAGUCGAGAAUCAUUCACAAUGGGGGAAACCCUGAUGGUGCGACGCCGCGUGGGGGAAUGAAGGUCUUCGGAUUGUAAACCCCUGUCAUGUGGGAGCAAAUUAAAAAGAUAGUACCACACGAGGAAGAGACGGCUAACUCUGUGCCAGCAGCCGCGGUAAUACAGAGGUCUCAAGCGUUGUUCGGAAUCACUGGGCGUAAAGCGUGCGUAGGCUGUUUCGUAAGUCGUGUGUGAAAGGCGCGGGCUCAACCCGCGGACGGCACAUGAUACUGCGAGACUAGAGUAAUGGAGGGGGAACCGGAAUGCUCGGUGUAGCAGUGAAAUGCGUAGAUAUCGAGAGGAACACUCGUGGCGAAGGCGGGUUCCUGGACAUUAACUGACACUGAGGCACGAAGGCCAGGGGAGCGAAAGGGAUUAGAUACCCCAGUAGUC